UGGGGAAUUUUGGACAAUGGGCGAAAGCCUGAUCCAGCCAUUCCGCGUGAGUGAAGAAGGCCUUCGGGUUGCAAAGCUCUUUCGGCGGGGACGAAACGGUUAUGGUUAAUACCUGUGACUAAUGACGGUACCCGAAGAAGAAGCACCGGCUAACUACGUGCCAGCAGCCGCGGUAAUACGUAGGGUGCGAGCGUUAAUCGGAAUUACUGGGCGUAAAGGGUGCGCAGGCGGUUAUUUAAGACAGAUGUGAAAUCCCCGGGCUCAACCGGGGAACUGCGUUUGUGACUGAAUGGCUAGAGUGCGGCAGAGGGGGGUAGAAUUCCACGUGUAGCAGUGAAAUGCGUAGAGAUGUGGAGGAAUACCGAUGGCGAAGGCAGCCCCCUGGGUCAGCACUGACGCUCAUGCACGAAAGCGUGGGGAGCAAACAGG
RNAcentral lists this ribosomal RNA (429 nucleotides) under uncultured bacterium. RNAcentral's name for it is "bacterial SSU rRNA". It matches the Rfam family "Bacterial small subunit ribosomal RNA", at positions 355 to 776 of the family's 1533-position model. The record is from RNAcentral.